CUUUCUCUUCCACCUGGGAGGAAGUGGAUCUCAGCCGGCCUCUUCCAGAUCCUCCAAUCCUCCGCCCUCCCCAUCCAUGUCCGCUGCCACUGCACCAAGAAAAAGGCCGGCAGCCACCGCAACCUCGCCGUCCAUGGCCAUCUUCCUCUCUGCAUCCCGCAUCUGCCGCGUUAGCUGCCGCUGCAACCUCUUUAUCCACGACCAUCUUCCCGUUUGCAUCCCGCAACGGCCGUCUGCCUCCAUGACGUUAGCCUCGUCUUGCAGCCGAGGAUGCCCCUGAAGGCAGACCUAGUGCUCGCGGCGCCGGUGCCGUUGCUGCGGAUGGUGCCCAUCUUGCUGCACGGAGCGACAAGGUCCCUCGUGGGCAUGCACAAGAUGGAUGGGUUGGGCGUGAUGACUAUGGGCGCGCUCAAGGUCCCGCUUCAGCCUCCACCUGACGACGCGCCUGGUGGAGUUCCGCCGCAUCCGACCGGCGGGAUCCUUGGCAGGCUGUGAGCCGUAGUCCCACCAGGCCACCAGGUAAUACAGACUCUAUGGAGUCUUCAUUGGUGGAGACAGAGUGCCUUCCAGUAGCAUGGUUCGAGGCAAGAUGGUUGCAAAAAUGUGGUCUCUCUCCGAUGACUUUGGCGAGUACGGCCGAAUCGGUGGCCAUAAAGACACUGGAAUUAACCAAAGUUAACAUAUGGCGAGCGCCCCGGCACCCGAGGAGCUGUAGAGUAGCUUAGUUUUCUCCAUGAGAUGUUUGUAAUUUUCAGUUUUUAGGGAUUUUUUGCUCCUGUAGAUGUGUAUUUUCCGGUUUGUUUAUGUAACCUUUGUUUAAUUUAAUGAAAUGAGCAUAUAUUUUUUCUGACAA
Long non-coding RNA from Triticum dicoccoides, 853 nucleotides. RefSeq lists it as uncharacterized. NCBI's taxonomy places the organism in Eukaryota, Viridiplantae, Streptophyta, Magnoliopsida, Poales, Poaceae. The record is from RefSeq and is a predicted model, not a curated record. The transcript has 2 exons.